UAAGCAGAGUGUGAAAUAAUGUGGCUCAACCACAUGUCCAUGCUUUGAACUGCUUUGACUAGAGAAUGGAAGAGGUUACUAGAAUUUCUAGUGUAGGGGUAAAAUCCGUAGAUAUUAGGAGGAAUACCGAUGGCGUAGGCAGGUAACUGGUCCAUUUCUGACGCUCAGGCACGAAAGCGUGGGGAGCGAUCGGGAUUAGAUACCCCGGUAGUCCACGCCGUAAACGAUGGAUGCUA
This 236-nucleotide ribosomal RNA is filed under the name uncultured Candidatus Saccharibacteria bacterium. RNAcentral describes it as "partial 16S ribosomal RNA". It matches the Rfam family "Bacterial small subunit ribosomal RNA", at positions 584 to 818 of the family's 1533-position model. The record is from RNAcentral. Lineage: Bacteria; Candidatus Saccharimonadota.